This is a long non-coding RNA of Dipodomys spectabilis (banner-tailed kangaroo rat), 181 nucleotides long. RefSeq lists it as uncharacterized. Lineage: Eukaryota; Metazoa; Chordata; Mammalia; Rodentia; Heteromyidae. The transcript has 3 exons. The record is from RefSeq and is a predicted model, not a curated record.
CCUAGCUCUCUCAGUCAACAACUUACUGAGCUGCCUUUUCCUUUACAAAAGGAUGUCAGCUCUGAGACACAGCAAGAAAUAACAGACUUCACCUUGGAAUAGCUCAACUCACUCUUCCAUUAUUAAAGUGGAUUUUGAAAAGAAAACAAAACCCAAAAAAAGCAAGUCAAGCACUCUUCCA